RNAcentral lists this transfer RNA (16 nucleotides) under Cycloderma aubryi. RNAcentral describes it as "transfer RNA-Leu". Lineage: Eukaryota; Metazoa; Chordata; Testudines; Trionychidae. The record is from RNAcentral.
UCCAAAGGAUAACAGC